UAAUCUAUGAUCAAGGGCUAGGACAGCACAAGUAAGAAGGCAUAGUUUGGUAGGUCCCCCCGACUUAGACAUAGUAUGAGCUACAUUCACCCCUUCUUCCCCAGCUUUGCCCAUGGUGGAUGUUGGGAAGGAUGGAGACAUGUCUCUAAGAUCUUAGCAACAGCAAGAUCAUCCAGGACUGCCAAGCUGGGAACUGCCCUUAGCAAAGAACCAGCUGCUUGGACACUAAGUUAAAAUGGAGCUCAGAGGUUUAUACAACAGUGGCCUUUACACCUAAGAUUGAAGUUAUGGAUGGAGUUGUGCUUCUACGAAUUCUGCUUCUAACCGUGGAUAUUCUUGAAAAUUCCCCACCUGCCCUGAGGUUUGUCAGAUUCCACAAGAUACUGUGAAUCUGCAGCCUCAUUAUGGAAGUGACCUGUAGAUUCUUUCACACCUGGGCUCCUUCUCUCUUCUCUGUGUGGGCUCUAUACAGUGUGGUUCGUCAAGGUUGUAAGCGAAAAGCUCUUUGACCUGAACAUUUCUAUCGCAUGAAUCUGAGAGAGUCUCCAGGCCUUCAACACAAAUGAGUUCACAAACAACACAGUACUAGAAAGAAAGGAAUUUUACAAGCACCCUGAGACGAUAGGGGACAGCCCAGAUGGAAGUGACCGGCUCCCAGAUCUUCUCGGCCACAGACUGGAAUCCUUUCUGGUUGUUACCAGAUUCAAGAGCCAGAUCCCAAAAUUAAAGAAUGGAGAUAUUCUGUUCCUGCUAAAACUUUCCACAGAACAGCUCUAGAACACGAAGCUCCUGCUAUUCUAUUUAAUGUACCCAUAUGUAAAUGUAUCCUAGAGGGGUGGGAGUAGACACUGAUGAGGGCCAGCCAUGGCUCUUACAGAGCUUGCUAUGAUCCUGUGGAACUCAGUCUACACAGCCUAGUUGUAUCUCAGCUCCUACCCUAGCUCCAUAGACCCUGUGUUGAGUGGAUGGAUGUAAGGGCCAAGAAGAUGGCUCAUCAGGUAGGGUGCUUACUGCACAAGCACAAGGACCUGAUCUCAGAACCCCAGCACCCAAGGUCAUGGGUAAAAGACGCUCCGCAAACAUGGCAGAUGUGGGGAAAAAGUGUAGCAAGAAUUAGCUCCUUGUUGGAUGCCGCCAGCUUCACACUGGAGUCAUGCCUGUGAGUAGAAGUCAAGAGUGUGGAAAAGCCCUCUGAGAAAAGGCAGACUCUGCUCCCUCUGCACCCAGGAUUCCAAGGGGAGAAGCCCGGCCCGCUAGCACAUGCUCACAGGUGAUGGUGUAGCUGCUUGGCCUUCCCAGGUGAGUGAGUCUCCCUCCCUCUGUGGCCUCUGCUUCUUCAGUCCUGGGCCAGCAGCUUCUGUGAGCCCAAAUCGC
This is a long non-coding RNA of Mastomys coucha (southern multimammate mouse), 1374 nucleotides long. RefSeq lists it as uncharacterized. The record is from RefSeq and is a predicted model, not a curated record. The transcript is spliced from 3 exons. NCBI's taxonomy places the organism in Eukaryota, Metazoa, Chordata, Mammalia, Rodentia, Muridae.